Molecule: ribosomal RNA, 842 nt
Filed under: Levilactobacillus brevis
Lineage: Bacteria; Bacillati; Bacillota; Bacilli; Lactobacillales; Lactobacillaceae
Description: bacterial SSU rRNA
Rfam family: Bacterial small subunit ribosomal RNA
Source: RNAcentral
CGAGCUUCCGUUGAAUGACGUGCUUGCACUGAUUUCAACAAUGAAGCGAGUGGCGAACUGGUGAGUAACACGUGGGGAAUCUGCCCAGAAGCAGGGGAUAACACUUGGAAACAGGUGCUAAUACCGUAUAACAACAAAAUCCGCAUGGAUUUUGUUUGAAAGGUGGCUUCGGCUAUCACUUCUGGAUGAUCCCGCGGCGUAUUAGUUAGUUGGUGAGGUAAAGGCCCACCAAGACGAUGAUACGUAGCCGACCUGAGAGGGUAAUCGGCCACAUUGGGACUGAGACACGGCCCAAACUCCUACGGGAGGCAGCAGUAGGGAAUCUUCCACAAUGGACGAAAGUCUGAUGGAGCAAUGCCGCGUGAGUGAAGAAGGGUUUCGGCUCGUAAAACUCUGUUGUUAAAGAAGAACACCUUUGAGAGUAACUGUUCAAGGGUUGACGGUAUUUAACCAGAAAGCCACGGCUAACUACGUGCCAGCAGCCGCGGUAAUACGUAGGUGGCAAGCGUUGUCCGGAUUUAUUGGGCGUAAAGCGAGCGCAGGCGGUUUUUUAAGUCUGAUGUGAAAGCCUUCGGCUUAACCGGAGAAGUGCAUCGGAAACUGGGAGACUUGAGUGCAGAAGAGGACAGUGGAACUCCAUGUGUAGCGGUGGAAUGCGUAGAUAUAUGGAAGAACACCAGUGGCGAAGGCGGCUGUCUAGUCUGUAACUGACGCUGAGGCUCGAAAGCAUGGGUAGCGAACAGGAUUAGAUACCCUGGUAGUCCAUGCCGUAAACGAUGAGUGCUAAGUGUUGGAGGGUUUCCGCCCUUCAGUGCUGCAGCUAACGCAUUAAGCACUCCGCC